RNAcentral lists this long non-coding RNA (1300 nucleotides) under Anas platyrhynchos platyrhynchos (common mallard). Its description in RNAcentral is "lncRNA (ENSAPLG00000020419.1)". The record is from RNAcentral. Lineage: Eukaryota; Metazoa; Chordata; Aves; Anseriformes; Anatidae.
AUGGCUGUGGGAGGAAAACCUGGAUAUGUAGCUCAGAUGGCAACACAAUAUAAGAGCAGAUUAAAGGAUGAGAGUUUGGGUUCCUUUUAUUUCAUGAUGCUUCAGUGCUCGGAUACAGGAGGCUUAAGGUUCAAGAAAAAUGAAAGAUCAAAUACAAAAUGUUUUUAUUGUGCUCUAUCAUUUACACCAAAAAUUAAUGCCCACCUAUUUUUUCCAGGCAUUGAAAAACACAGAUACAAGAACUGCUCAAAGAGUGAUUUUUAUUUGCUAUCAUACCUAUGUGAAAUAGAAGCUAAUUAAUUUGAAGAUCAUUUGCUCUAAUCCUUUUGGGCGUGCAGGGAGAAAUCACCAAUUUAAAAAAGCCCAAUACAACCAUUCCUUCUGCUGAACAGAAUUCUUGUAUCAUCCUGCCUGUGAGCUGAAUCUUUCAGAAGCCCAACCAGCAUCUCAACACAAAUUCUUUCAUCAGAAAGACCACGUACGAAUGCAAAGCAAUCUAUGUAUACACCAAGAAAAUACAGUGGUCAGAUGAAGGUCAAGACUCAAUGUUUAAAGACUGAUGAGGCUAGGAAUGAGGGAAACUAUCCUUAUAGCUCACAAGUCAAGGUAGAAGAACUGGUAUUUGCAAGUUCCACAAAGGCUUCUGAAGCUGAACCAUAACUGGGACAGAUCGAACCUCAGCAUUUCUUGGUUUUGUUUUGCUUUUUAAAUAUGCUCAGCCUGAAGGAACAGCAAAUGUGUGUCAGCUUCUAGUUCCACAGUGCUCUGCAGAAGAAAGUACACGAGAUACCCAGCUGUCAUUUCAAAAGGUGUUACCUGCUGCCUGCAUGCCCCUUCCUUUAGCCUUCCCCUGAGAAAGCAAUGCCAGAGGGAGAGAGAGCACUGCAGUCCUGGAUUGAAGGCCACAGGGAUCGGGAAACUGAAGUUAUCCCAAACAAAGAUAAACCUGUGCAGCUACAGCAGGGCACAGCCCCCUCUCCACUCCCUUUCUUCAUCUUGAAAUUAACCUGAGAUUUCAUUUAAGCUGUAUCCAACUGUCAGGAUAGCAAAAUAUUUAGAAAGUUGAUUUUGCAUGCUAGCGUUAACACAUGAUACAGUCUUACACUUUUUCAGAAAACUGAGUCACAUCAAAUCGCUAGUCUCUGGCAAAAAUGAUAUUUUAAAACAUAUGUUGCUACCAUGAAGGGCUGGUUCUAUUUGAGGAAGAGGUGAAUCUGAAGCUGUCUGCGCUGCACAAAGUACUACCAAUAUUGCCAUAUGCAUAUGUUAAAGAUUUGGUUCUGAAAGCUGCUUUUUACUU